CUCAGUGGUAGAGCCCCUGCCUAGGAUCCCCCAGUGAGGGGCUGGGGUGUGGCUCAGUGGUAGAGCAUUUCCUAGUAUAUAAAGGCCCUGAGAUUCACCCCGAGUGAGACAAAGAAAGAAAAGAAGGCUAGAUCCUGGAGGAAGGACAGAAGGGAAGUCAGGGCACCUUGCUGACACCUGACCCUCCCUCCACAGGACCCACCAGACUGCUGAACUCCUUCUGUUCCUCAGAGGAAACGCUGCAGUGCACCUGCUCCUUCUACAGGAUCCCCACACCCUCUGCAAUGGUGGAUGGACAGUGCCCCAGUGGAUGUGAACAGUGGCCAUGGUCACCUCCAGGUGACCUCUGUCACACUUGGUCCCUGGGCCAACAGCACCCUCAGCCUGGUGAAGGACCCAGAAAUGGGCACCAGCCUUCUCUGUGAGGGCAAGCACCAACAUGGAGCCCAUGCCUUGAGCAUCCUACUGAUGUCAAGUGCGGGUUUGGACUGGAGGCCAGGAAGGGGUCCUUUGGCUCCCCACACCUUCCUGAAAGCAAUGUUCCAGGGCGUUGUCUAUUCAGCCAUGGCCAUCACGCUGCUCUUCCUCUGCCUCCUCGCCUUCAUGUGAGUACAUCUCAGUCCACUUUCUGCACUGUAACAAAACACCUGAGACGAGCUGGUGUACAAAGCAGAGAGGCUUAGUUGGCUCAUGCUGCUGGAAGUUGGAGAGAACACGGUGCUGACAUCUAGAUCUAGUGAGGACCUUUCUUGCUGCACCACAACAUGGCAUCACAUGGUGAGACUGGGCAAGCACCGUGGCUCAGGUCUCCCUUCUCUUAGAAAGCUACUAAUGCCAUCUUUGGGGCCCCACCCGCCCG
RNAcentral lists this long non-coding RNA (859 nucleotides) under Nannospalax galili (Upper Galilee mountains blind mole rat). RNAcentral's name for it is "lncRNA (ENSNGAG00000024499.1)". Lineage: Eukaryota; Metazoa; Chordata; Mammalia; Rodentia; Spalacidae. The record is from RNAcentral.